UGUAUUUAAGAGUAGUAUGACAAGCAAUAGGCUGCUUAGAGGCAGCCCUAAAUCGUGUAACACUAUCUCUCUACAUUGUAACACUUUGGUUGAACACAAGUAAAGAAGAGAGAGCUACACGAAAUUGAUAAGAGCUUGUCUUUUCUUAUUGAUGUGUUAACCUUUACAAUGAGAUUACAAGGCUUUAUAUAGAAGGAGAACUAGGUUAAGAUGUCUCACAAUUCCCUUUAAUCCUAGCCCUUCUUUUCUCUCUUUAAAUCUCCACCAUUGAAUUCAAAAUAGCUUCUAGAAGGUUGUGGUCCACUUUUGUCUUCUAGAAGGUUGUGGUCCAACUUUGACCAAGACCAAGUUUGAAUUUGAGUCUCCUUCCUUUGUCUCCAACGGCUCUUAGGUCUUCUAGAAGGUCUCUCAUGGGCUUCUCUUAUGUGACACCAAUCUUGCACAUUAUUAUCUUCACUAGGUGACACGAGUUUUGCACAUUCUUGUAUUCAUGCAUAGACUUCAUUUUGCAUCCUCGGUCUUGAUACUUUUGACACCAAUUAUGCACAUUAGGUCAUGAUAACUUUGACACUAAUUUUGCACAUUGGGUCUUGAUAACUUUGACACCAAUUUUGCACAUUGGUGUCUCGUCUUCGGCCUUGUCUUGAGAUCUUCGGCCUUGACUCGUCUUAUGUGUUUACACCAAUUUUGCACUUCGGUGUCUUGGUGACUUUACACCAAUUUUGCACUUCCGGCCUUCAUACCUUGAAGUGACCCGAGCUUUGCACGGCUAUCUUAUGGAGUGAUAGACUCCUAGAUGAGGAUCUACUCCCAAGAACACACUUUGUUGGUUUUGAACAUGAAGGAUGCAGCGGAAUGGAAGAAGAGCGAGAUCGUAGGUGGAAGAUGAACGGACAAACGGAUGAACGGUUGCAGCGGAUUGAAGGUGGAACGUUUUGUACUUCCAAGAGAGGUGGAAAUCUCUUAGACUACGAGCUUGAAUACAACUUAGAUAUUACACACUAAGAAGGAAACAAGUUGAGAAGAUAUUACGCACUUCUCGGAUCAAACAAGUAAAAGAGAGAUUUUUGAUAAAAUGUUUGAUAAGUUCUCAUAAGAGAAUACAUAGAGAAUAUAUAGAGGAGAAGGAGAGAAGAGAAUGUAGAGAGACAAGUCUUGGAACAAGCUCCAAGGCUGCCUAGAAACUUAACAAAAUAUUAAAGAUAGAAUUUGAAUAGAAAAGACCCUUUGGCUUCAAAGAUGACUCUUGAACUCCUAUUUUCGUCACUCCUCUUGGCCAGCAAAUUAAGCACUUGGUUUGGAGUCUUCUUGGGCUUGUAAUGGCAAUAAAAUGGGCUGGACUUGAUAGCUAACACCUUGGAAGAUUUUCUGAAUAUUCUGGCCCGGUCUUGAUCAUCAAAUGGGUGAUUUGGAUGUGAAUCAUUUGCCUCAUUAAAAACCUUUCUUUGGAAAACCCAUUGGGAUAAAACCAAAGAUAAGGGAAAAAGAGUACAAAUGAGACACAUGCCCAUUUGUUGAUCAUGUAUCAAAACCAACGAGGUUAAGAUAACUUCUUUUGCGUUAUUUUCCUCAGCUACAAGCUGCUCCUUAGCUCCAUUUUCCUCAGCUACAAGCUGCUUCCUAGCUCCAAGCUUCUCAGGUUCAAGCAGCUCCAUAUCUCCAUUGUCCGAGCUAUCCAUGAUCACAUCAUCCCCUCCCUCUUGAAAAAGAUUUGUCCUCAAAUCUGCUUCUUCUGCAACAAAAGGGAUUAAGUUAGAAAAGUUGAAACUUAAGCUCAGAUUAUACUUACCUUGCAAGCUUUGGUCAUAAGCUUUUUCUCUGGUUGGCUCAAAGAUCUGAAAUGAAAAAUUGCUUCUUGGCGUCAGCUGGAUCUGUUUGUUGUUUGGAAAACACUUCAUUUGAAUCCAGAAACAUCCACCAGGGUCAAAGAUCAUUCUCCAUUGCCUCUUGUUUCCUUGCCAUUCAUCCUGCUCAUUUCUCAACUGCUCGCAUGGAUCAUAAUCAAUCUUAACAGUAAACCUCAUUAGCCACAAGUUAAAUAGCCACGUUUCUGGUGCAUGAGCUUUCAUUGCUUCCCUUUGUAUAACCUGUGCUUUCACCACAAAUACUCGAAAAACAGGAUCAUAGGUGCAAAAGGUAUACUUCUUUUCUUCAACAAACAGGUAAUUACUUAGAUCAUCUAAACAAGAUCUCAGAAAUUUAGCAUGAUCAUCAAAGAUUUGGUUAUAAACUAGAAUAUCAAAACCUUCAGUGAAUGGAUAGGAAACAGAAAAAGCCUCUUUAGUUUUAACGUAUGAAAUGCAGUAGGCUAUCCUAGAGAGAUUAUCAAACUCAAACAUAGAAUCAUUCAAGAAACAGUUAAGCUCAAACAGUUUAAUUUUAUUAAGCAUAAAUCCUUUAGUUCUAUAUGUAAAUUGAUCAUAAGGCUGAAACACAUCUUUAAUUCCAUCAUGAGAAUCGUAAGACUCUUUAGCCUGCUCAAAAUCUAGCAACCUAUCAUUGGGUAUAGCAAGAAAUUCAUACCUUUGAGUCGUUGUAUCAGUUACAACAUGUUUCUUACCUUGUUUGCUCUGGAUGAUAUAAAGAAAGGUCUUACUGGAUUCGCCUGAUUCAUCAAGGAAUUGAUGUUCAAGUCCAAAGAAUGGUGGUAAUCCUCCUGGGUUGUUUUCUUCAAAUUCCUGCAAGAGACACUUGAUUUUGCUAGGUAUGACCUGCUCAGGAUUAGUUAGACUCAUAAGAGUCUCUUUAUAAACAAACAAUUGCUUAGGCUUUUGAAAACAACUUCCCCUUUCCUUUUUCUCGGUGAUCAUGAGGUUGGUUUGAGGUUGAUGCAAAUCUGGUGGUUUUUCUUUGAUUGUCAUUUCUCUUAUGUGCUUAUGCUUCUCCAAAACUCUUGUUCCAGAAAAAGGCAUAAUGACAUGUUUUGGCAUAUGGCUGGUUGGCCGUUCCAUUUCACUAAUCAAUGACAAACUCCUCGGUUCUCCUUCUAAUGAUUUUUCCUCAAGCAACUGUGACAGAAGAACAAUACUACUCGGUUGCUCCGGUUCAAAAUGGGUUAGUUUGUCAAGCACAAAAUCAGAUUGAAUACAAGAAAGAGUACACUUAGCUUGUAAGGAGGUGAGAUGCUUCAGAGUUUUGUUUUCAGUUUGCUCUUCCUUGUUGCUUAAGUGUUGCUGGUUUUGAUCAGCAUUGUAUGGUUGAGUCUCCACCUUGUCUUUGUUGCUGUUUUCAGAAUUUUCUUCUAGCACAAUAAGCUCCUUGCAGAUUGGUAAAGACUGAUCUGAUUCUGAUUUUUGAAUAACCAUUUCCCUCUUAAGAAAACUUGAUCUCUCAUUUGCUGUUUCAGAACCAACAGAUUUGGUAGUGCUUGGAUUUUUCUUUUGGCUUUUCUCAACAGCCUUAAAUGCUUCCAUCACCCGCUUGUGCACUUCUUCAUAAUCUAUUUGUGUACUCAGCUGGUUCAGAAGUGGUUUAGCUUUCUUGAAACUUCUCUGAACAUCACGGUUGCAGUAGUCAUGAUUUGCUUUAUCUCUUACUGAUCUGCUUCUCCAGUUAGGCUUCUCUUGGGGUCUCCUUGGUGGUGGCUCUCUAUGGUAGUGACUUGGUACGAAUCUCUUUCUCAUUAUGUUCUUCAUUUCAGUCCAAGUCUCUACUGGAUAAUCCCCUACACGUCUCCUUGUAGUAACCAAAUGAUCCCACCAGCUUAGUGCAUAAUUCUGAAAUUCAGUAGACGCAACUUUAACCUUGUUGGCCUCGGUACACUCUUGGCAAACAAAGACUAACUCAAUUUUCUGCUCCCACUCCAAGUAAGUAUCCGGAUUGUUGGUUCCGUGAAAAGCGGGAAUCUUGAGUUUUAUUUUUCCCAAAGGAUCUCUAGGCGGGGGUCUUUCUCUUCGCUGCCUACGUUGACUAUUGUAAGAGGAGGCAUGGCUGUAGUAAUUUCUUGCUUCAUCAUAUUGCCUUGGUUCCUCUUGUUGUUGCCUUUGACGUUGAUUUGGUUCCGGGUUGAUUUGAUUCAAGUGUAGAGCACCAAGCUUCUCGUCGAUCAUUGUUGCCAUUGCAGCUGUGACGGAUUUCAAGAUUUUUCUCUCCAAGCUAGAGGUGGAUGACUCUUCGUCUUCAGAUGUCACCAUUGUACCUGAAAAAUCGAAAAUCUAACAAGUAAACAGUCCAAAAACAGACAAAUCUAAACGGAUCUGGAAAAAUAUCAAAACGAUUCCAAAAAUUCAAAAAUCAAUUUUCAAAACUACUAGACUCGUUACUGGUUCGAACGCAAUUGGUUUCACAAUUUUUCAACAAGCCAAUUAUUUUUCAAAAUUAAAACAAGAUGCGAUCAGAAAUCUGGAAAAAAAGUGAAAUCGAGAAAAAAGAAAAUUUAGGGUUGGAACAUCAAAACCUGAUAACAAAGUGGCUCUGAUACCACAUGAUAGACUCCUAGAUGAGGAUCUACUCCCAAGAACACACUUUGUUGGUUUUGAACAUGAAGGAUGCAGCGGAAUGGAAGAAGAGCGAGAUCGUAGGUGGAAGAUGAACGGACAAACGGAUGAACGGUUGCAGCGGAUUGAAGGUGGAACGUUUUGUACUUCCAAGAGAGGUGGAAAUCUCUUAGACUACGAGCUUGAAUACACCUUAGAUAUUACACACUAAGAAGGAAACAAGUUGAGAAGAUAUUACGCACUUCUCGGAUCAAACAAGUAAAAGAGAGAUUUUUGAUAAAAUGUUUGAUAAGUUCUCAUAAGAGAAUACAUAGAGAAUAUAUAGAGGAGAAGGAGAGAAGAGAAUGUAGAGAGACAAGUCUUGGAACAAGCUCCAAGGCUGCCUAGAAACUUAACAAAAUAUUAAAGAUAGAAUUUGAAUAGAAAAGACCCUUUGGCUUCAAAGAUGACUCUUGAACUCCUAUUUUCGUCACUCCUCUUGGCCAGCAAAUUAAGCACUUGGUUUGGAGUCUUCUUGGGCUUGUAAUGGCAAUAAAAUGGGCUGGACUUGAUAGCUAACACCUUGGAAGAUUUUCUGAAUAUUCUGGCCCGGUCUUGAUCAUCAAAUGGGUGAUUUGGAUGUGAAUCAUUUGCCUCAUUAAAAACCGUUCUUUGGAAAACCCAUUGGGAUAAAACCAAAGAUAAGGGAAAAAGAGUACAAAUGAGACACAUGCCCAUUUGUUGAUCAUGUAUCAAAACCAACGAGGUUAAGAUAACUUCUUUUGCGUUAUUUUCCUCAGCUACAAGCUGCUCCUUAGCUCCAUUUUCCUCAGCUACAAGCUGCUUCCUAGCUCCAAGCUUCUCAGGUUCAAGCAGCUCCAUAUCUCCAUUGUCCGAGCUAUCCAUGAUCACAUCAUGGAGAUCUUUCUCUUCACUUGGUUCAAUACUCCCCCGCAAGCUUGAGCGUCGGGACAAUAAGGACCAAAGGUCAAGCUUGGAGAUCUUCGGCCUUGUCGUCAUGACUUCGGCCUUGACUCCUUUCUACUUCUUCUUAUAUUUUAAUACCCUCCCGCACGUUUGAUCGUCGGGACAACAUGAGGACCAGAGAUCAAGCGUGGACUCGUGUCGACUACCUCAUUAAAAACCUUAACAAAGAAAACCACUUGGGAUAAAACUUUGUUAAGGGAAAAAGAGUAUAGCCUUCACGGUCAUUGAUGUCGCUAUGAUCUUGGUUUGUUAAGAACCGGCUCUCUUCUCUUCAAGUCUUUGAACCGCUACACUGUCUUUAACCCGCUUCUCAUGAUCUCCAAUCUUGCACUUCUCGAAUUUCUUUGAGGCUCUCAUAGUCUCCUUUACCCUUUAAACAAGUGAUAAAGAAGAGUGUAUAAGUAUAUGCUAUGAGGAAUAUCAAAGAAAAUUCUAAGAAUGUGACAAGUCUAAGGGAAACAUAUUCGAGCAUAAAGACUAGCAAUUGAACUACGGUAAUGAAUUUAAAUAGAGUAGAGUUUUAGAGCACAGCCUUUGGUUUGAAUCGCCAUUCUUGAUGAUGGCUUCUUUUCUUUAUCCCUUGAGAGAACUUCUUCAACGUGAAUUGAAGAGGACUUUUGGAUUCAUCAUGAUUUUAAAUGCUUUGAACAUUUCGUUCAAAGACAUCCCAUGGUUCUCUUCCCCCUUCUUUCCUCCGUGAGUCUCUUCUUCAAGGGCUUUGAUUUUGUGGUCGCCAUUUCUUCUUGGAAUUCUCUCAAGAAGAGAUGGAAGGCAUAAGCCUGAGAAUAAGAGACAAAAAUGAAAGUGUAUGUUACCAAGAAUAAGAGAAUAAAGAGUAUAAAGAGUAUAAAGAGUAUGGACUCAAGAGUGCCAAUGGACAAAGUUCUUAGCUUUGUUUUCUUGAGUUGAGGUUGAGAGUAUGUGGGGUUUAGUAACCAGAAUGGGCAUGAGAAUUGAAGCCGCUCCCUUUCUUCAACACGGGUAGCCAUUAUUUUCUACUCCGGGUUCUUCAAGGUCUAACUCCAAGACGCCAUGAUACUUCCAACGAGUACCAAUCAUGUUGUCUACUUCGUGGACUCCAUGGCUACUCCAAACUGAACUUUUGUUGCGGUUUGAGCUCUCUUCUUGAGGUCUCUAGAUCGCUUCUUAGAACAUGUUAAACCAUGAUGGUUUUAACCCUUUUCGAGCCUUGAAACCUUGUACAUCAAUGACUUUGAAGUCUUGUGCACAUUCAAACUUGAGCUCCAUGACUUUGACACUUGAAUGCGUGAGUUUGAUUCAGCAUUCCCACCAGAUUUCUUCUCUAAUUUGAUCGUCCACCAAUGUCACUUCCUUUCUAACAACCACUUGAGUUCGCUGGCCAGAUUUCUUCUUCGGGUUGUCUUGAGUUUUGACUUGGUUGGAUCGUCUAAAUGGGCUUCAAAUAUAACCGGCUCUACUCUUCACUUUCUUAGUCCUUCAUGACUGGUUCUGAAUCCUUUCCUUGUCAACUUUUACUUCCUUGAGGCUCUCAUUGGUCUCUUUGAGGCUCUUAUGGUCUCCUUCACCCUUAAACAAGAGAUAAAGAAGAAAAGAUUAAGUUUUGCCAUAAGGAAUAUCAAAGAGAAUAUCAAAUGAGGAAUAUCAAGGCUAUUAAGCAACAAUUAGGAGUUCAUGUAUAUAUUAAACUGUGAAUUCUAAGGCAAUGGUUUAAUGAAGAAUAUCAUGAAAUGAGAGUAGAGUUUAGAAACAGCCUUUAUUUGAAGAAGACUUGAACUUGUGCGGUUUGUUCGUCUAAUGGACUUCAAGUCUGAUGGUGAAUGGUUCUAACCCUCCCGCAAACUUAUAGUGCCCAGAUUAUCCAUCCAUUAAUCUCUAACAAAUGCAUUCGCCUUCUCUUUAUGAGACAAGCGAUUCCUUGCAAAACAGAUUAGAGUUAAUGGACACCAAAACAAACAAAAAUGGUGAGAGAUUAGUGUAAGUGAAUAGAAUGAGCAGAAAUAAAGGAGAAUAAUAGUAUAAAGACAAUAAAGGAGAAUGGAGAAUAGAGAGUUUGCUCAAGAGUUCAAAUGGACAGAGUUUAGCUCUGUUUUCUUGAGUUAAGCGGAAGCUUUAACAACCAAGGCAUCCAAUAAUCAUCAAGACUUUGGUGCUUUAAUGGCUGAAACAAUAUGGACCGUUGGGCAAUUCAUUUACCCACCGGUUUAAGACAUAAACACACCGAAAUAACUCAUGACCAAGAGUUUUCCGGUGACUUUAAAGAACUAUGAACCACGAAAUACCAUAUUGAAGAUGGUUUCCGUGGCCUAGUUUUAAAGAAACCAUUGGAACAAAACAGUUUGUCCAAUGGAAUCCUCAAUUUCUCUUCACAUGCUUGGUCUAAGAACUUUAACAAGACUAGAAUCCAAGCUUUUCUCAACAUUGAGCUGCUAGAGAAAUGAUUUUAACAAUAAAAGCUGAAACUUUAAAGAAUCUAGUCUAAAGCUGAAACCUUUAAAGAAGCUAAGCAAUUUAACAACUAAGAGAAAUUUAGAAAUAACUUGAGAACGAUUUUAAGAGUUCCAAGAGAGCAACCCGCUCUGAUACCAUGUUGGAUUUGAAGAGACUAAGCUCAUAAGAAAGAGUAAACAAUCACUUGGUGAUUGAAUCUCAGUUUAUCCACACAAAGGGAACUCAUUCUCAAGAGGAAGAAACCAUCAACUUGUGAUGGAAUCCACACCAAUAUAGCUUGAUAGAACCGAAAUCUCUAUGGAGAGAAUCGAUCCUAGCAAGACAACUAUCUCUAGUAUGAAGCUAGAUUCGUGAGAAGUAACACAACACUAAAGGUUUGUGUACUUAGAGAGAAACGAAUCUAUGAAUCAUUUAGCUAGAGUAAACAACAUAAAUAAGAGAUUAAGAAGAGUUUAAGGUGUAUUUAAGAGUAGUAUGACAAGCAAUAGGCUGCUUAGAGGCAGCCCUAAAUCGUGUAACACUAUCUCUCUACAUUGUAACACUUUGGUUGAACACAAGUAAAGAAGAGAGAGCUACACGAAAUUGAUAAGAGCUUGUCUUUUCUUAUUGAUGUGUUAACCUUUACAAUGAGAUUACAAGGCUUUAUAUAGAAGGAGAACUAGGUUAAGAUGUCUCACAAUUCCCUUUAAUCCUAGCCCUUCUUUUCUCUCUUUAAAUCUCCACCAUUGAAUUCAAAAUAGCUUCUAGAAGGUUGUGGUCCACUUUUGUCUUCUAGAAGGUUGUGGUCCAACUUUGACCAAGACCAAGUUUGAAUUUGAGUCUCCUUCCUUUGUCUCCAACGGCUCUUAGGUCUUCUAGAAGGUCUCUCAUGGGCUUCUCUUAUGUGACACCAAUCUUGCACAUUAUUAUCUUCACUAGGUGACACGAGUUUUGCACAUUCUUGUAUUCAUGCAUAGACUUCAUUUUGCAUCCUCGGUCUUGAUACUUUUGACACCAAUUAUGCACAUUAGGUCAUGAUAACUUUGACACUAAU
Molecule: long non-coding RNA, 8865 nt
Filed under: Arabidopsis lyrata
Lineage: Eukaryota; Viridiplantae; Streptophyta; Magnoliopsida; Brassicales; Brassicaceae
Description: long non-coding RNA (ALYR_LNC000281)
Source: RNAcentral